Molecule: ribosomal RNA, 408 nt
Filed under: uncultured bacterium
Lineage: Bacteria
Description: partial 16S ribosomal RNA
Rfam family: Bacterial small subunit ribosomal RNA
Source: RNAcentral
GACGAACGCUGGCGGCGUGCUUAACACAUGCAAGUCGAACGAAGUGGCGAACGGGUGAGUAACGCGUAAUCAACCUGCCCUUCAGAGGGGGACAACAGUUGAAAACGACUGCUAAUACCGCAUACUGAAGGAGGUGAUUGCGUCUGAUUAGCUAGUUGGCUGGGUAACGGCCCACCAGGGCGAUGAUCAGUCGCCGGUCUGAGGGGAUGAACGGCCACAUUGGGACGGGGACACGGCCCAGACUGCUAAGGGAGGCAGCAGGGGGGAAUCUGCGGCAAUGGACGAAAGUCUGACGGAGCAACGCCGCGUGAGUGAUGACGGCCUUCGGGUUGUAAAGCUCUGUUAAUCGGGACGCGGUACCGGAAUAGAAAGCCACGGCUAACUACGUGCCAGCAGCCGCGGUAAUUC